GUUUCAUUUUUUUCACAUAAAAAUUCGCCAGAUUGGUUACGUUGCCUUUGAGACCCUAUGGUAGCCCAAGAAUGAAAAUUACCCCUAUGAUGGCAUACCAUUUACAAUAGUAGACAACCCAAGGUAUUGCAAACAGGGUAUGUCCAGUCUUUUUUUAGUAGCCACUUAGUCACAAACACUGGCCAAAAUUGGCGUUUUUUGCAUUUUUC
This 209-nucleotide long non-coding RNA is filed under the name Pelobates cultripes (western spadefoot toad). Lineage: Eukaryota; Metazoa; Chordata; Amphibia; Anura; Pelobatidae. The record is from RNAcentral.